RNAcentral lists this ribosomal RNA (233 nucleotides) under uncultured bacterium. RNAcentral's name for it is "partial 16S ribosomal RNA". It matches the Rfam family "Bacterial small subunit ribosomal RNA", at positions 103 to 334 of the family's 1533-position model. The record is from RNAcentral.
CGGGUGAGUAACGCGUGAGGAACCUGCCUCAAAGAGGGGAACAACAGUUGGAAACGACUGCUAAUACCGCAUAAGCCCACGGCUCGGCAUCGAGCAGAGGGAAAAGGAGUGAUCCGCUUUGAGAUGGCCUCGCGUCCGAUUAGCUGGUUGGUGAGGUAACGGCCCACCAAGGCGACGAUCGGUAGCCGGACUGAGAGGUUGAACGGCCACAUUGGGACUGAGACACGGCCCAG